RNAcentral lists this long non-coding RNA (292 nucleotides) under Mus caroli (Ryukyu mouse). Its description in RNAcentral is "lncRNA (MGP_CAROLIEiJ_G0005523.1)". Lineage: Eukaryota; Metazoa; Chordata; Mammalia; Rodentia; Muridae. The record is from RNAcentral.
UCUCAGCCACCAAGCUACUUAUUUAAAUGCCCUGAAAAGAAUGGACAGGAGCUGACUCAGAGAAAAACUGAACGAAGAGCAGCCUUGUUACAAAAGCUGGGGGGGCUGUCAGAAAAGGCCCAUCUGAGGGGAUACUUUAAAACUGAGACGACACCACCCUUAAGGGUAAGAAGUUGGCAGCCUCGUUCUCAGUGACUAACCAUUCUCGGUGUUGAUGGGCAUCGUCCUGGCUCAAGCUGAGCCUACCCUGAAUGAGGCUGUUUUACUCUUCUGAAGGUGGCCAGGUCCAAGA